UACGAGGGGGGCGAGCGUUGUUCGGAAUUAUUGGGCGUAAAGGGUGCGUAGGCGGCCUGACAAGUCUGAUGUGAAAGCCCCGGGCUCAACCUGGGAAUUGCAUUUGAGACUGCGUAGCUAGGGUGCGGAAGAGGGAAGCGGAAUUUCCGGUGUAGCGGUGAAAUGCGUAGAUAUCGGAAGGAACACCAGUGGCGAAAGCGGCUUCCUGGUCCAGCACCGACGUUCAGGCACGAAAGCGUGGGGAGCAAACAGG
Molecule: ribosomal RNA, 253 nt
Filed under: uncultured bacterium
Lineage: Bacteria
Description: partial 16S ribosomal RNA
Rfam family: Bacterial small subunit ribosomal RNA
Source: RNAcentral